This 429-nucleotide ribosomal RNA is filed under the name Bacteroidota bacterium. Its description in RNAcentral is "Bacteroidetes bacterium partial 16S ribosomal RNA". It matches the Rfam family "Bacterial small subunit ribosomal RNA", at positions 355 to 776 of the family's 1533-position model. Lineage: Bacteria; Pseudomonadati; Bacteroidota. The record is from RNAcentral.
UAGGGAAUCUUCCGCAAUGGACGCAAGUCUGACGGAGCAACGCCGCGUGAGUGAAGAAGGAUCUCGGUACGUAAAACUCUGUUGUUAGAGAAGAACAGCGCAUAGAGUAACUGUUAUGCGUGUGACGGUAUCUAACCAGAAAGCCACGGCUAACUACGUGCCAGCAGCCGCGGUAAUACGUAGGUGGCAAGCGUUGUCCGGAUUUAUUGGGCGUAAAGCGAGCGCAGGCGGUCAAUUAAGUCUGAUGUGAAAGCCCCCGGCUCAACCGGGGAGGGUCAUUGGAAACUGGUUGACUUGAGUGCAGAAGAGGAGAGUGGAAUUCCAUGUGUAGCGGUGAAAUGCGUAGAUAUAUGGAGGAACACCAGUGGCGAAGGCGACUCUCUGGUCUGUAACUGACGCUGAGGCUCGAAAGCGUGGGUAGCAAACAGG